Molecule: transfer RNA, 72 nt
Filed under: Dipodomys ordii (Ord's kangaroo rat)
Lineage: Eukaryota; Metazoa; Chordata; Mammalia; Rodentia; Heteromyidae
Rfam family: tRNA
About the family: Transfer RNA (tRNA) molecules are approximately 80 nucleotides in length. Their secondary structure includes four short double-helical elements and three loops (D, anti-codon, and T loops).
Source: Rfam by way of RNAcentral
UGGGGUGUGGCUCACAUGGUAAAGCACCUGCCUAGCAAGCAUGAGGCCUUGAGUUCAAACUCAGUACUACAA